Molecule: ribosomal RNA, 301 nt
Filed under: uncultured bacterium
Lineage: Bacteria
Description: partial 16S ribosomal RNA
Rfam family: Bacterial small subunit ribosomal RNA
Source: RNAcentral
CAGCAGCCGCGGGAAUACGAAGGGUGCAAGCGUUAAUCGGAAUUACUGGGCGUAAAGCGUGCGUAGGCGGUGAGUUAAGUCUGCUGUGAAAUCCCCGGGCUCAACCUGGGAAUGGCAGUGGACACUGGCUCGCUAGAGUGUGUCAGAGGAUGGUGGAAUUCCCGGUGUAGCGGUGAAAUGCGUAGAGAUCGGGAGGAACAUCAGUGGCGAAGGCGGCCAUCUGGGACAACACUGACGCUGAGGCACGAAAGCGUGGGGAGCAAACAGGAUUAGAUACCCCCGUAGUCCCUGUCUCUUAUAC